CCCUUAGACGUUCUGGGCCGCACGCGCGCUACACUGACCAGUGCAACAAGCAUCCGUCCUUGGCCGACAGGCUCGGGCAAUCUUUGAACGCUGGUCGUGAUGGGGAUAGACUUUUGCAAUUUUUGGUCUUCAACGAGGAAUUCCUAGUAAACGCAAGUCAUCAACUUGCAUUGAUUACGUCCCUGCCCUUUGUACACACCGCCCGUCGCACCUACCGAUUGAAUGGUCCGGUGAAGCCUCCGGAUUGGCGCGCACCUCGGUGCCGCCGAGAAGUUGGCUAAACCUUACCAUUUAGAGGAAGGUGAAGUCGUAACG
RNAcentral lists this ribosomal RNA (315 nucleotides) under uncultured eukaryote. RNAcentral's name for it is "partial 18S ribosomal RNA". It matches the Rfam family "Eukaryotic small subunit ribosomal RNA", at positions 1470 to 1796 of the family's 1831-position model. The record is from RNAcentral.